Parasteatoda tepidariorum (common house spider) is the source of this 964-nucleotide long non-coding RNA. RefSeq lists it as uncharacterized. The record is from RefSeq and is a predicted model, not a curated record. Lineage: Eukaryota; Metazoa; Arthropoda; Arachnida; Araneae; Theridiidae.
GAUUUAAAAAAAAAUGCAGGGAUAUCAAAUAAAGAAUAUCUUGAGCUUUUUUCGUCUUCGAUUGUUUUAUGACAAAGAGAAUCUGAGAUACAGUGUAAUCAAAGUAAGUCAUAAUGUGAAAAGUUGACAACGUGACCAAUAAAUCAUCGAAUGCAAAGAGUUUUAAGAGAAAGAAAUGUCAAAUGCUCUUUGGAAAGAAAUCAUAUUUUGACACUGAUGGACAUUUGCGUCUUGUGUAUGGCAUUGCUUCACAUUUUAUUAACACAUUUCAGUAAAAUCACGCAGUAUAAAGCUGGAAAACUUUAUCAAUUAUUCUAAAAUCCUUAUGAUAAUUAUUGGUAUGUAUUUUCUGAAUAUUUUCGUAUAAAGUUUUUAAUGGUUCUUAUCUAAAUCAAUCAUGGCACUCCUAAAAUUUAACUCAGUAUUUACCUUUUCCCUGAUGCUUUUCUUUUUCCUGCAAUGUGGUGAAGGAAGCAAAAUACCCUUACAAAGCCUUGGGGAAGAUACCAAUGAAAGCGACAAUAAUGGAUUGUUUCAUCAGCACAAAAUUGUUACCAGAAGAACAAGGUGCAAUUCAUCAUGUGUUGGAAUACCCCAGACUGAAUACUGCAGAAAUUGUUGGAAGGUUGGAUAAACCAUGAAAUAAUAUACAAAAACCAAUAACAUGAAGAAAAAAAAAUUAAAAACGAUGAAAUAUCUUUGAAGAAAAACAAAUAGGUUUAAAGAUUCACCAAAUUAUAUUGUUUUUUAUAUUGUCAUUCUUUUCUUAUACCAAAUAUAAUUUUAUACAUCGUUAGUCUUUUUAUAUUUAUUGCAAAAUUUUGAAUUAUUUUGUCUGAAAAUACUUAGUAAUAUUGAAGUCUUCUAGGCUUCAAUCAGGCGAAAAUAAUUAACACCAGACAGUUUCAAUGAUUUUUAAACAAAGAAUUCUUUUGUAGCAAGAAUAAAAUUGAUUUUGUCGUGA